RNAcentral lists this ribosomal RNA (498 nucleotides) under Lactobacillus delbrueckii subsp. bulgaricus. RNAcentral's name for it is "partial 23S ribosomal RNA". It matches the Rfam family "Bacterial large subunit ribosomal RNA", at positions 1548 to 2055 of the family's 2925-position model. Lineage: Bacteria; Bacillati; Bacillota; Bacilli; Lactobacillales; Lactobacillaceae. The record is from RNAcentral.
UCAUAAGGACAAGGCGUGAUGAGGAGCGAAAUUAAAGUAGCGAAGGCUGCGACGUCACACUGCCGAGAAAAGCUUCUAGCCAGAGACGGUGCACCCGUACCGCAAACCGACACAGGUAGUCGAGGAGAGUAUCCUCAGGUGAGCGAGAGAACUCUCGUUAAGGAACUCGGCAAAAUGGCCCCGUAACUUCGGGAGAAGGGGCGCUGGUCGCAAGAUCAGCCGCAGUGAAAAGGCCCAAGCAACUGUUUAUCAAAAACACAGGCAUCUGCAAAAUCGUAAGAUGAAGUAUAGGUGCUGACACCUGCCCGGUGCUGGAAGGUUAAGAGGAGAGCUUAGCGCAAGCGAAGGUUUGAAUUGAAGCCCCAGUAAACGGCGGCCGUAACUAUAACGGUCCUAAGGUAGCGAAAUUCCUUGUCGGGUAAGUUCCGACCUGCACGAAAGGUGUAAUGAUUUGGGCACUGUCUCAACGAGAGACUCGGUGAAAUUAUAAUACCCGUG